UCCGGCUUGCCGCCGGCGGUCCCUCUAGAGUGCCCAACUGAAUGAUGGCAACUAAAGGCGAGGGUUGCGCUCGUUGCGGGACUUAACCCAACAUCUCACGACACGAGCUGACGACAGCCAUGCAGCACCUGUGCAAGCUGGUAUUGCUACCUCGUCAGACUUUCAUCCUUCUACUACUUGCAUGUCAAGGCCAGGUAAGGUUCUUCGCGUUGCAUCGAAUUAAGCCACAUACUCCACCGCUUGUGCAGGCCCCCGUCAAUUUCUUUGAGUUUUAACCUUGCGGCCGUACUCCCCAGGCGGGGUGCUUAACGCGUUAGCUACGCCACACCAUUGGGUCAACACCUGAUAUGGCUAGCACCCAUCGUUUACGGCGUGGACUAC
Molecule: unclassified non-coding RNA, 381 nt
Filed under: uncultured bacterium
Lineage: Bacteria
Description: contains 16S-23S intergenic spacer region
Source: RNAcentral